Molecule: ribosomal RNA, 1391 nt
Filed under: Staphylococcus aureus
Lineage: Bacteria; Bacillati; Bacillota; Bacilli; Caryophanales; Staphylococcaceae
Description: partial 23S ribosomal RNA
Rfam family: Bacterial large subunit ribosomal RNA
Source: RNAcentral
CCAACAAGCUUGCUUGUUGGGGUUGUAGGACACUCUAUACGGAGUUACAAAGGACGACAUUAGACGAAUCAUCUGGAAAGAUGAAUCAAAGAAGGUAAUAAUCCUGUAGUCGAAAAUGUUGUCUCUCUUGAGUGGAUCCUGAGUACGACGGAGCACGUGAAAUUCCGUCGGAAUCUGGGAGGACCAUCUCCUAAGGCUAAAUACUCUCUAGUGACCGAUAGUGAACCAGUACCGUGAGGGAAAGGUGAAAAGCACCCCGGAAGGGGAGUGAAAUAGAACCUGAAACCGUGUGCUUACAAGUAGUCAGAGCCCGUUAAUGGGUGAUGGCGUGCCUUUUGUAGAAUGAACCGGCGAGUUACGAUUUGAUGCAAGGUUAAGCAGUAAAUGUGGAGCCGUAGCGAAAGCGAGUCUGAAUAGGGCGUUUAGUAUUUGGUCGUAGACCCGAAACCAGGUGAUCUACCCUUGGUCAGGUUGAAGUUCAGGUAACACUGAAUGGAGGACCGAACCGACUUACGUUGAAAAGUGAGCGGAUGAACUGAGGGUAGCGGAGAAAUUCCAAUCGAACCUGGAGAUAGCUGGUUCUCUCCGAAAUAGCUUUAGGGCUAGCCUCAAGUGAUGAUUAUUGGAGGUAGAGCACUGUUUGGACGAGGGGCCCCUCUCGGGUUACCGAAUUCAGACAAACUCCGAAUGCCAAUUAAUUUAACUUGGGAGUCAGAACAUGGGUGAUAAGGUCCGUGUUCGAAAGGGAAACAGCCCAGACCACCAGCUAAGGUCCCAAAAUAUAUGUUAAGUGGAAAAGGAUGUGGCGUUGCCCAGACAACUAGGAUGUUGGCUUAGAAGCAGCCAUCAUUUAAAGAGUGCGUAAUAGCUCACUAGUCGAGUGACACUGCGCCGAAAAUGUACCGGGGCUAAACAUAUUACCGAAGCUGUGGAUUGUCCUUUGGACAAUGGUAGGAGAGCGUUCUAAGGGCGUUGAAGCAUGAUCGUAAGGACAUGUGGAGCGCUUAGAAGUGAGAAUGCCGGUGUGAGUAGCGAAAGACGGGUGAGAAUCCCGUCCACCGAUUGACUAAGGUUUCCAGAGGAAGGCUCGUCCGCUCUGGGUUAGUCGGGUCCUAAGCUGAGGCCGACAGGCGUAGGCGAUGGAUAACAGGUUGAUAUUCCUGUACCACCUAUAAUCGUUUUAAUCGAUGGGGGGACGCAGUAGGAUAGGCGAAGCGUGCGAUUGGAUUGCACGUCUAAGCAGUAAGGCUGAGUAUUAGGCAAAUCCGGUACUCGUUAAGGCUGAGCUGUGAUGGGGAGAAGACAUUGUGUCUUCGAGUCGUUGAUUUCACACUGCCGAGAAAAGCCUCUAGAUAGAAAAUAGGUGCCCGUACCGCAAACCGACACAGGUA